GACGAACGCUGGCGGCGUGCUUAACACAUGCAAGUCGAGCGGUAAGGCCCUUUCGGGGGUACACGAGCGGCGAACGGGUGAGUAACACGUGGGUGACCUGCCCUCAGCUCUGGGAUAAGCCUGGGAAACCGGGUCUAAUACCGGAUAUGACUCCAUGACGCAUGUUGUGGGGUGGAAAGCCUUGUGCGGCUGAGGAUGGGCCCGCGGCCUAUCAGCUUGUUGGUGGGGUGAUGGCCUACCAAGGCGACGACGGGUAGCCGGCCUGAGAGGGCGACCGGCCACACUGGGACUGAGGCACGGCCCAGACUCCUACGGGAGGCAGCAGUGGGGAAUCUUGCGCAAUGGGCGAAAGCCUGACGCAGCGACGCCGCGUGAGGGA
RNAcentral lists this ribosomal RNA (379 nucleotides) under uncultured bacterium. RNAcentral's name for it is "bacterial SSU rRNA". It matches the Rfam family "Bacterial small subunit ribosomal RNA", at positions 28 to 408 of the family's 1533-position model. The record is from RNAcentral.